GACCCAGGGAUCGAACCCAGGUCUCCCGCAUUGUAGACAUACGCUUUACCAUCUGAGCCACUGGGGAAGUCCUACCUAUUAUUAAGGAAUAUAAUAAAAAGUUAAUGCAUUUUCAUUUCCUUAAUACCACAACCACCCAGAAAUGUAGCACCAACAUGGAACAAAAACUGUUAUAUACAAAUGACCAUGUAUAUGUACACUUCUUUCCAGAAUAGUAAGAUCCUUUCCUGUUAAUGUACAAUAAACAGUCUCAGUUAGAUUUUAAUAAUAAUCCAUUUUGAGCUCUCUUUAUAAAAAUAAAGGUAUGAUAAUAUUAUUCCCUGAAUAACACGAUAAAUCAGUACGUGAAUGAAUCCCUAAAUCCACAUAGUGGUGAAUGGGUGAGAUUGUCUCGUUAAAAAAAAUGUCCAGUUCCAUAGAAGUAAGUCCAAUAAGGUGAUCCUUGGCUCUUCCUGUAAGUAGCAGGUAAAGUGAGAUAUCUCUGAUUGUAGUUUGUUGAGCAGUGAAUUCGGUGGUAUUCAUAUUAUUUAACAGCCAAACUUAAGUAAAUGAAAAAGUACCCUUCUUAGGAAAAUGAUGAGAAUAUGAUAUAAAGUAGAGUUUAUGAUUAAUCUAGUCUUCCCUACAAAUAUCAAUUUUAAAAAAGCUAAGUCUAUUUUUAGAGUUUUUAAUAAUAGACUUUUUUUUCCCCUUUAUAAAAUGAACACUACACAGCUGACUUAAUUAGCUUUAAUGGUGAAGACCCUGGCUAUUACUUCUGGGACUAAGGAGCUUAAAGACUGAAAUAAGGAAAUAUCAGUGUUGGUGUUCUAAGCUCCGAUGGGGAUUAUUAAUGGGAUCCCACUGAAUUAUUUCAAUAAAAUAAAUAGUCAAAUAGCACAUGAAAUUAAGGAAUGCCAAUUAUGAGCCCAUGAUUGGAAUGUGUCAUAAAUUAACAUUUAUGAUUAAUUCAACUCAGCCCCACUAGGGAUCAUUCAUUACUAAAGGGAUGCAAGGAAUUUCACAUAUUUUCAGAGCAGUAUUAUAUUAACUUCCUACUUAAUAUUCUGGCCACAUUUGCUAAAUCCAUUUCUUCAUUGAUUAAGAUUCAGUUGUUAACUCUUUGAGGCUGGAGUGCUGUGGAGGAUGGCAGAUGUCUUUUUUGUCGGUUGUGGGCUAAGAUCAUAGCGCUGUUCCUGUUGAUCACCAGCUUUAAUAUAAUGACAAAUCAAGUGGAAAAGGAGCAGGUGGGCACUGAUCUCAAGGAAGGGACUGAUAGGAAGUAAGUGUGCUGAUUAACUCCUGUGUGCAAAAACAGAGCCUUAUUGUGAAAAGUGAUUGAGUCUAUUCACGCUACAUUAACAGGGCCACGAACAGAUCUUGAUUGUGUUCAAGCCUUUGUUCUUAGUUUGAUGUCACUGCAGCUUAUUGAUUGUGUAGUUAUUAUUCGUGAAUCUGUGAACGAAUGAAUCAGUUCAGGAAGGGAUAAGUGGAUUAAGAAAUAGAAAGUUAUGCCUGGGUCAGUGAUGGCUAUUGGUGAAAGUGAAUGAAUCCAUGACAUUGAGUGUGCCUUCUGUGUAACUCUGAGGUCCAUUCUGUAUAAUCAAUCAAUAUUCUUUGUAGAAAUUAAGUAGUAGAAGAAGUUAGGAAAAGACAGUGAGGCUUUUCUUAGGCUUUUGUGGUUCAUGGAUGUGGAUUGUAUUAUUGCAAAUGAAUCAGCAGGUGAAUAAAGAAAGAAUUGUACAUCUGAAAUAGGAAGAGACCUGCUCCUGGAACAAUUAGUAGAAUGGCAUAAAAUAAGUAUUAAUGUUAAUAUGGUCUUGAAGUAAAAUGAACAGGUUUAAUUUGUAGUCCUCUUUCACAUGGAAUGUAUUAGUAUCUGUGGUCAAGAGGCAAUGUUUUGAGUUUGGUACAAUGCUGUCUGUUUUUUUUUUCUUUUAAGUAAGAAACGAAAAGGUGUUUGCCUAUCACUAUAAAAAAUAGUUAUAGUUAUUUUUCUGGUGUUUACUGCUAGAUUCAGUGGUAUCCAUCAUAUUUUUAAAGUUACCAUAACUUAGAGGCUUCCCUGGUGCCUCAGAUGGUAAAGAAUCCACCUGCAACGCAGAAUACCUAGGUUCAAUCCCUUGGUCAGGAAGAUCCCCUGGAGAAGGGAAUGGCUACCCACUCCAGUAUUCUUGCCUGGAGAAUCCCAUGAACAGAGGAGCCUGGCAGGCUACAGUGGAUAGAUUGCAAAGAGUCGAACAAGACUGAGUGACUUUACUAACAUAUACUUGACAUUUGGAUAUUUUUAAUCAUUUGGUUCAGUCACUCAGUCGUGUCUGUCACUUUGCGACCCCAUGGACAGCAGCAUGCCAGGCGUCCCUGUCCAUCACCUACAGAUCUUAAUCGGGGCUUGGUGGCGGACUUAAUAAUGUUUAUUAUAUUAUUCAUAACUAAAAAUUCAAUACUGGAUUAGUAAAAAAUUGCAUUUGAGCCAAAGUUUAUGGUUAUCUAGUUCUGCCUGACUAACAAUCAUUAAAAAAAAAAAUCAAAAUCUAGUCUAAAUCAGCUUUUUUCCUCCCCAGAGUGAACACAGGACAGCUGAUUUAAUCACUUAAUAAAGAAUUUUUAUUGUGAGCAAGCAGCAUAAAGUCUAAUAUAAUAUACAGCAGAAGUUCAGAAUAUUCAGAUAUCUGGAUCACAGACGGCUUCUGGAGAUAGAUUGAUUUCUCCAAGUAAAUCAAUGCAUGAGUAAAGGAAGAAAUGUAAAGAUGGAAUGAAGACUGGCUGCUUCAAUCGGUCUUCUCUGAGGAAGAUCUUGGCUGUUACCUUUGUAGAAUGGAUGCUCAAUGAUUCAAUUAAGGACUGUAGAAACUUACGUAAGUAACAAAGUAAUUGCUUCUGGUUUGGUGGUUUGUCAUGGGUGUUAACUCUAUUAUUGGAAGGGAUAAAUGGCUACAAGUACAAAUUAAAUGAAUGGAGGUCUUAUGUAGGCCAAUUCAGUACAUCUGUGGUCAAUUAAGGAGAAAAAAGGAAGACCGUUUUAUUUAUUUUCACAGUUAAUUACUCAAUUAAUUAAUGUACAAUGUAUUAUCAAUUUUACUUUGAAUCACAGUUGAUUUAAGCCUCCCUCUAUAAAGACGUAGUUUUGUCACGUAAGGCUAUCUGUGCUUGAAGAUCAAAGGAACUGUUAAAUGACUCACUCAAGGACAGGGAUCGGAAACAGUUUAGAUAGGAUCAAACCCUGAUUCUUUUCAUAUCACAUAUUGUGAUCUCUAGUCAAACACAAAGUUUCCCCACACUUAGUCAAUUUCAAGAUCCCUGUAUUUAUUGAAAAAAAUUUGUGUAUAAAUGGACCCAGACAAUUUAAACUUGUGUUGUUCAAGGGUCAACUGUAUACAAAUAAAUGAAGAGUGUAAAGCAUUGUCCAACUCUGGUAAUGUCUCAGGAAGUAAGAGAAUCUGUAAAUAAAUGUUAAAAAGACUGGUUCAGCUCCGAAAGACAUGGUUUUAUGUUACAUCUUUGGCUAAUGAUGCUAUAGAAAGUGCAAGUAAUAAUUACUCUUACUAUUCUGGCUCAGUGUUAAGCUUGAUGUUCACUUUCUUGAGGGAAACAUCAGUAAAUAUUAACCCUAAUAAAUAAAUACCUAAAACUACUGAUGUAAUGAAAGAUGAAAUGCAUGCAUUAAUGAACAUGAUAUCUUUGUUCUUUUCAUUUUCUCUGCUUUGUACUCGGAGUGGGUGUGCCAAGCUAAUUUUAAGGAUCUUUCCUGGUCAGGAGCUCUAGAAUGGAUGCCUAUUAGCAGAUUUCAGCAUCUCCCAUGGUCAUGUGCUCUGCAGACCAAGAAUGGACCAUUGGAGCUGGUUGAAAAGCUCUUUCACGGACGUGCUCUCUGGUUGCCUCCAUGCCUUUGGUGUAUAGAGGCCCAUAAAGAGAACCCGGAAGUUCAUGGUGGCCUCACUGUAGCAGCGUUAAGCCCCCUAAUCAAUGCACUCAAGCGGAUGUAUGCGUUUUCCAUGAUUUCCUUUGUGUGUUGAGAGCCUAGAGAAGAAUAAUGGACGCACACCAGUGGGUUUAAGUAUCUUCCAUGGUCUUGGGCUCUGUAGACUGAUAAUGGAUGCACCUGAAUUUAUUAAGCAUUCGACUGUGAUCAGGGCCUCUGCUGGUUUUCCUGUGUAUAAAUACAUGUGGGUCAUAAUGGAUCCUACAAGCUGAUUUCAGCUUCUGCUCUGAUUAAGAUCAUCAUGUUGCCUCUGUCAGGAGGGCGACAAAGGUUUUCCCUAAAGAUUCCUUAGUUGAUAGCAGUGUAAGCUAUUUUCAUCAUGAGGAAGAGCACACUGGAGAUGAGACGCAGGAGACGUGGGUUCGAUCCCUGGGUAAGGAAGAUCCCCUGGAAGAGGGCAUGGCAGCCCAGUCCAGUAUUCUUGCCUGGAGAAUCCCAUGGGCAGAGGAGCCUGGCAGGCUACAGUCCAUACGGUCACAUAGAGUCAGACCCGCACAACGCGUUCACAUUAUGAAAAAAAGGCCUACCAUGGACCAAUGAUGGGAAUGGAAUGCAUUUUGAAAUAUUUUUUUAUGAUCAAAACACCUAAAAACUACUGAGGUCCAUGACAAAAAAAUUAUGUUUACAUCUGUGGAAAGGGAGAGACUUCAGUAAUGUUCAAGGAUUGUAUUGUUAGUCUUUGGUGCUGCAUGAAUUUUGAUUUUAUUAUCUUAAAUAAUUAAAUGGAAGAAUAAACAAAUAUGUCAGUGUAUAAAAUGAAAAGGGUGAAGCAUAUCCAAAUAUGAAAAUAUGUGGUGAGGCAUGAAUUACGAUUAAUAUAACUUAGACCCUCAUUAAGGAGGUCCUCAUUAAUCAAUAAAUGGAUCAGGAGAUUACAGUUUGGGGAACAAUGAUAGAGGCAGGGGAACAUAUUAAUCUGUUCUUGCUUUGAGUCUGAGUCUGAGUUCAAGUAGUUUGUUUACUUUAGAAAAAAAUAAAUAAAUCACUAUAAAAUUAUAAAUACAUAAAUGACUGAGAAAAUGCCAUGAGAAAAGCAGGUAUUCAUGGGAUGAAUGUCUCAAGAUUUUCUUAUCUGCAUUGCUUAUACUCAGAAUGAACUGAACUAAUGUAACCCUUCUGCCAUGGCAGUGAAUUCUGUAUUAGGAGCAAAGAGACAAAUGUGAGUAACAGGCCAAGCUCUUAUCCUGGUGGGGGUGUCUUGUUUAAGAAUAUUCGCUGUUUUGUUAAAAACAUGCAUUAAGUAUAAUCUAAGAAGUUAGCUGCGGCCCAUUAUGGAAUUCAUAUGUCACCCAUGGUCCUUAAUGAGUAGAUGCAAACCUAUACUGAGAAUUGCUGAGGGAAAUUAUUGUAUGUACAGAUGUUAAGGAUACUUGAGGCUCUUGUUCUUGAGGUUCCUUGCUUCUUGUAAAUUUUUAAAUUAAUAUUAGUCAAUUAAAAAUUGAAAAUCAACAAGUGUGCAGAUGAAUGAGGGAAAAGAGGGCAAAUCGUGGACCGACAAAGGAUAGCUAGUAGAGUAUGAAUCAGGGGUGAUGGAUGGCCUGUAUCUGGCACUGAGUUGUACUAUACAGAAAGAGAUCUAGUCUAUUGUCUCUGGUGGAUGUGAUCCUGAGGCAGGCUAGGAAUGCUAGUCCUAGAAUUUAGUCCUGGACAAAGUUCAUGGACCUUAGUGGUUCGUGAAUUUUGAUGGCAUUAUUACUACAAAAAAAAUCAAUAACCAAUCUAUUCAAUUACUUGAGUAAAUAAAGAGGAAGAGGGUAAAGUGUUGUUCAAUUAUGGAAGACGAGACAACAAAUACUAUUAAUUUAAUUUGAAAGUAUGAGUAUUUUUUAAGAAAUAAUUGGAUCAAGGGUAUUACCUCUUUAGCUAACUAUCUCAUGCAUAGGCAGAGAUAAUAUAUAGUCACUGUUAAUGCUCCGUGUCAGUAGUGAGUUAAGAGUUGUUCUUUUUUAGGACAUGAGACAGAAUUAUUAACAUCAAUUAGUAUAUAUUUAAAUGACUAAGGAAAUGAAAUGUGGAAGCAGUGAUCAAUGGACCUAAGGCCUGAAUUAUUUUAUCAUCUGCUAUGCUUUGCACUCCUCAGGAUGGGUUCUCAAUGCUGUUCAAGUUUCUACCAUGAUUCCUGUGAUCAAAAAAUUUAUGGCUGCAUCUAUGUGUAGGAACCAGUAACAGAUACUGGAGUGGACUUCAGCUUCUGCCACAGUGAAGAUUAUCAUAAUGUCUCUGUCAGGAAAGAGGCCAAGACUGGACAUACUUGAGAUGAUUUAACCAUCUUCCAUGAUCCCAAGCCCUUUGGUUGCCUCUAUACAUUCAUUAGAAGUAUGGAUGCCACUAAUGGAUGCCCUUGAGCUGACUUAAGCAUCUUCCAGGGUCUGGAGCCCUGUGGGUACAUCUGUAUGUGAGGACAGUGGAGAACAAUGUGAGUACUAGUCAAUGUACUUGUCUUGGAUUAAGCCGUAUUUUAAAAAGAUAUUAUUAAAAAUUAAAUAUCAUAAAAAAUUCCAAAAAUCUUAUGUCAAAUACCAUUGAUACAAAGCAGUAUGACAAUUAAUCCAUAUAUGAAGCACUGAGAUCAGUUAAUGAAAGAGUUGAGUGUCAGCGGAAAUGAUUGUUUAGAUGGAUGUCAAAGAUAUUCAAGGGUCUUACUCAUGAUUUAUUUGUGUAACUUAUGCUCACUUAAAUAAUAAUGAAUUAAUAAAUGUAGAUGUUAGUAGGGAAUGGAGCCCUUCCUGGACCAUAUGACUGGAAGCAUGGGAGUCUAUGGUAUAUACUGUGUAUCUAUAACCCUGAUUCCUCACAAAGCAAAAUCUAGUCAAUCUUUGAUUUUAAAUGACCCCAGAGAUGGAUGUUAGGAAAGCACAAACAUCUUAUUUCAUUUUGGAGUUUACAAAUUUAGAUGUAUUAAUGAUAAUCAAUAAGCAAACCAUUAAAAAUGUAAAAGAACACAUAAAAAGAAGAAAGGGAAGCAUUGUCCACUAGGAACAUAUGUGGUGAGGUAAGAAAUAUUAUUAAUAAAAUUGAAAACAUUCAUACCCAUUAAGCUAAGCACUUUGCCUUCUUACUGAAAAGGUCGUAAAGACACUGAUAUGGAAGAGUCAACAUUAUUGUUCUGGGCCAGUUUCAAGUUUAAGUGUUUCUUUUGUUAAGAGAAAAAAAUGCUACACUAUGAAAAAUUAAUAAAUGCCUAAAUGAGUAAAUGAAAGGUGGAAAACAAGGAUCAGUGGCAAUAAGGUCUGCAUUUUAUCAUGUUCUCUGCUCUGUGCUCCUUAGAAUGGGUACUCUUAAACUGGUAGAAGCAUUCUUCCACAGUCAUGAGAUCUCUGGUUGUAUUCAUGUGUUAGGACUGUGGAGGCCAUAUGAGUAGUAGAGAAAAUUUGGUCUUAGUUUCAAUGUUUUGUUUAAAGGUAUUGACUUUAUUAUUGCAAACUGUGACAUACAAUCAAUGAAAUCCAAAUAGCCCAGUGUGAAAUAUGGGAUUAAUAUGAAGCAUUAUAUGAUUGAUUCAUAUAAUGAAAACAGAAUAAUUAAAGAAAUAUUGACAUGAAAGUGGUUCUAUAUAUGAGAUUUCUAAGCUUUUUUGUGGUUUCAAUAAAACCAUUUAAAAAUUAUUACUGAAUUAUGAAUUGAGCAAUAAACAAUAUAGAAAUAAUGAAUUAAAAGAGGUACGACAUUGAAUCGAUGAUAACUUCUGGUGGUAUAUGAGUUGUGUCUGAUAAAUACAAGUCUAGAACUCUGAGGUCUAAUGCAAAAGAAUUCUCUUACAUUUUCAUUCUUAAUUAUAAUUGAACCAAUGAAAGAAUCAAUCAAUAAAUAUGUCAAUCAAUGAAGAGAAAGUGUCCAUAUUUUAUCACACUCUCUAUUUAAUACUUUUCAGAAUCAAAGUUCAAGCCUUUAUUGUGAUCAGAGUUAUCAUUUUCAUGUUGCUAUGGGACAGAGACCCAGGGGAGUAAUGGCCAAGAUUUCCAUCUUGGUUUGGGAAAUUAGCUGAAGUGUUUUCAUUGUAAUAAGUUCAAUCAAGGACUUCCUUGGUGGUCCCCUAGUUAGUAGUUAAGUUCACCUUCCAAGGCAGGGGUGCAGGUUUGAUACCUGGUUGGAGAGCUAAGAUCCCAAAUGCCUCAUGACCAAAAUACCAAAACAUAAAAAGAAAAGUAAUAUUGUAACAAAUUUAAUAAAGACUCUAAAAAUGGUCCACAUCAAAAAAUCUUAAAAAAAAAAGUCAUGGUUUCUGGAUCGAUGAUGAUCCAUGCCAGUGUAUGAGCCAUCAAUGAUGAAUAAUACAUGUCUGGAACUGUAAGGUCCAAUAGAAAAGAAAUACGGUCUUUCUCUUCAUGGAUUUUCAUUGGUUCCUUGAUGGUGGUAGUGAUUGGAGAGAAGUUUGAGAUAUUCAAGGGUCUUUUUGCUGUGUUUGGGGUCAUCCUGCUUUUAUUUCAUCAGUAUUGAUGCCAUGAUGAUUUAUAUAAUCCGAAUGAAUGAAUGAAAGACCUACAGCUGGGCCUAAGGGACCCAAAGAUGAACUUGGGUAGAGGAUGAGGGGUGGGCAAGUAACCCAGAGUAUCUGGAAGCCUGAGGGCCAUGACAGCACAUCCCCUCUUGUCUACCUUUUUUUCUUCAUGUGGACAGAUACUGGGAAUCUAUAAAGUCAUAUUCUUAGGUUGGGUUAGUGAAUUUAGAUUUCUUGUUAUCAAAAGACAGGUCCCUUGAAAGGAUAUACCUACUAGAUUGAGUAGAAAAGGUCAGUUAGUGUCUCCUCUGGACACUUGCGGUCCGGCAAGAAAUAAUGAUAAAAACUGCCUCUGUGGAUACACAUUUAGCAACAAUGCACCUAAGAGGUCAACUGCUUGGCAAAGCGUCCUGUAGAUGUAGCACUGGAAGACUCACUUGCAUUGUUCGUACACUCUCAAAUUUGAGUAUAGUUUUAUUUCUAGAAAGCAAUAUCUUUGCAUUAUGAAAUAGGUAUUAAUUCCUCAUGAUUCAGAUCAUGAAAUUUGGAGUGGAAGAAUCAGUGACCCUAAAUUUUUUUUUCUCUCUCUUUUUCUUUGGUUUUCAUGGACUGGACUCUAUUCGUGAGAAUUGACACUUUUGAGCUGAAUAAACCGUCAGUAGUCCGUGGUCAUGAACCUUAUGAUUGUAGAAGCCCGUAGUGAAUGCAUGGGAUCUGAUGGAGGGAUUCCUCGUGGAGCACCAGCCUAGGAUGGCAUCUUUGCUGUUGGAACCAUAGAACCUAGACCCACGAAGAGUCCUGAAGGAUGAAAACAUUUCUGAAGUGUCUUUCUGAGAUCCGACACAGAACAUAAGUAGUCUAUGUCCUUUGUUGAAAUUGUUUUUAUAAGGAGUUGUCUGGAAUACAAAAAGAUCAUAUGUUUGUUAAUUUCAUAGUUAUAGUACUUAUUAACAAUGAAUCUAUGAUGAAAUCAUUAAACUCAUAAAUAAACAUGUAAGGAAAACUUGUGAAAGUGUUCUCAUAUGAGUAUCUUCUUUUUAGACAAGCUAUUGUGAAUAAAAAUUCAAAAUUCUGAAUCCCAUUAAACUGGUGAGGGUCACCCCUUUGGCCAGAAUGCUAUAGACAUGCUUAUAUAAUAGCCAUGUAUUUAUUCUUUUUCAGACUAGAGAUUGAAAUUUUCUUUUAAUCAGUUUAAGAAAAAAACAUAGGAAGAGUAAAUAAUGAAUACCUGAGUGUGGUAUAAAUGAAAUGCCCCAAGUAAGGGUCAGCGGUGAUUUGGUCUCAAUAUCUUGACCCUCCUCUGUGUUUUGUGCUCCGUAGAAUGAAUGCACCAGCAAUGAUUUAGCAUCUGUCAUGGGCACCAGACCUGCGGUUGCCUCUGAAGAAUAAGAGAAUGGAGAUUAAUAAGGGGUGUUCCUGCUGCUUCAGCCUUCACUGUGUUCAAUCAUCGGCUGCCUCUGUGUCAGGAAAGCCCUAAGGAUGAAUGCAGUAGAAUGAUUUAACAUCUUUCAUGGACGCAAGCUCUGUAGUUGCCUCUGUAUAAUAGGACGAUGGAGAUUAAUGGCGAGCAUGAGACCUGAAGGAAGGAUUCCUCAUGGGGCAUCUGCUUAGGAUGGCAUCUUCGUUGUUGGAACCAGAGACCCGUAACAGAAGCUCAAGGUGAUUUCAGCCUCUACUAUGAUCAAUAUCAUUUUCAGGAAAGAGCAAGUGUAUUAUUUGAAUUUCCAUGUACAAUAACCAAGGAGCAAUGCAGCUCAGUGAGUGGAUGCAUGGGACCUGAAGGAAGGAUUCUUUCUGGAGCACCAGCCCAUGAUGGCAUCUUUGUUGUAGGAGCCAGGAGACCUAUAAUAGAAGCUCAAGGUGACUUUAGCCUCCAUGGUGAUCAAGGUCAUGAGCUUCAGAUUGCUAUGGGUCGGAGAUCCAGUCUUUCCCAGCAUCAGGGUUUUUUCCAGUGAGUCAGUUCGGCUGAUUAAGCAUUAUUCCAUGGUGCUGCACCUUAUGACUGUACCUCUGUGUUAGGUACACAGAGACCAAUGUGAGUAAGAAUUUUUUUGUCUCGGUUUUGUUCAUUUCUUUUUGUUGGUUUCUGCGUGUGUGUGUGUAUGUGUAUAUAUUCAGUGUAUUGGCUGAAUGUUCCAUAUAGAAUAACAGAAGGCCAAGUCUAUCUCAGUGAUAACUAUUGAAAUUUAUGACACAUUAAUUGAUUACUGCAUAGGUGAAAAACAGCAUCUAAUUUAAAAGAGAUACAUUGUUGUAAGAAUGAUCUAUUUACGUCUUAGGAAUAUCAUGACUUUUCUAGAGUUUUGUGAAUAAUAGGAUUUUUAAAUUAUCACUAGUGAAUUACUGAGUUAGUCAAUAAACAGAAUUGAACAAAGAGUGGAGUCUCAGUCGUGGACCAAUGAUGAUGAUCGUUUCGGGAAGAGUCCUAAACGAUGAAAAUAUGGCUAUAACUCUGAGGUCCAUGAUACAUAAGUACUAUUUUCCCUCUGAUGAGAAACUGUUUCUUUUGUGAGAUUUCAGGAAUAUAAAGAGAUCAUAUUCUUAUAUUAAGUGUUUAAGUAAGAAUAAUUCUGUAUAUAUCAUCUCUUUUUAAAAAAAUUGUGCUGAUAAAAUUAUUAGUGAAUUUGUGAUUCAAAAAUUAAACAGAAACGUAUUUGAAUGAGAUGGACAGUAAUGGAUGGAUGGUAACUCCCUGAGGUGUACGAGUUGUGUGCGAUGAGUGUGAGUCUGGAACUCUGAGGUUUGAUGCAAAUGAAAUCAAGUCCACUGUCGUGUGUGAAGUGACCUUUUUGUCAGUGGUUAGGAAUAUACAAAGAUAUUUAUUUUGGUUAUUAUCAACAUGCAUUUUUUUCUAUUUUUAUAAUUGGAUCAAUGAAAUAAUCAAUAUACAAAUGUAUAAGAUAAAAAUGAUGACUAUGUAGCCUUUUCAAUUAUAAAAAUAUGUGGUUAGGUAAAAAUUACUAUUAUAUAUAUAUUGAAAAGACUGAUAAUCAAUAGGAAAGAUAUGUUAUGAGGGUAUUACCUCUUUGGCUAAGGGUGAUACAGAAAGUGACAGGUAUUAGUUACUGGCUGAGUCAGUUACAAGUUUGACAAUUGAUUUUCUAAGGGGAAAAACAAAUACGAGCAUAAUUUAGUUGAUGCCUCAGCUACUAUGCAAAUGAAUAGUCAGAUUCUUGGAUCAAUGGAAAGACUAUCUAAGUAGUUUUACCACCUUGUGUGUUUGUUAUUUUGUAGGACCGAUGUUCCUGAUACUUCAGGGUUUGUUGUGCUCAGUUGUCACACCAGCUGUGUUAGGGAGGAGAAUAAGGUGAUGAUGGACAGGCUGUCGUCUUAGAUUGGGCGAUUUGUCUGAGGGUCCUCAUGGUGUUGUUAAAAAGUAUUAAAUUAAUCAAAAAAUUACCAUAGUUCAAUGAUAAAUAAUCAAGAAUGAUUAUUUCAAAUAAUUGAUAAUGGGCAGAAUAGAGGUCGAAAAUUGGUUGAGAAGACUCCUGAUGAUAACUGAUCCUGUAACCUGAGGUUAGGGGUAUUGAAGGGUGUCAUUCUUGGGAUACUUAUUUUUAUUAUCACAAUUAUUAUUUUUAUUAUUAUUAAACUAUUGCCAUUAUUAAAUGGAGAAGGAAAUGGCAACCCACUCCAGUUUUCUUGCCUGGAGAAUCCCAUGGACAGAGGAGCCUAGUGGACUGCAAUCCAUGGGGUUGAAAAGAGUCAGACAUGAAAAUGAACAAAGAAAAGAGACUUAAUCGUGGGCCAGUGAUGAUGAUCGUGAUGGGAAGAGUCCUAAAUGAUGAAAACACGUCUCAGACUCUGAGGUCCAACUCAGAACGUCAGUAGUCUCUUCCUUCUGGUAAAAUUGUUUCUGUAGAGAUAUCAGGAAUAUAGGUAAGUUAUAUUCUUCUUUUGAUUUCAUAGACUUAAAUUUGUUACUAUUAAUGGAUCUCUGAAGAACCAUUAAGCAAAUGUAACAAAGUGAAGCACUGUCCAAAUAGGAACAUAUUGAGUGAGACAAGAUACCAUAAUAAACACUGAAAACACUGAAUCAUAUUCAAUAAAUGAGUGAGGGUCACAUCUUUGACCAAGGUUAGAUAGAAAUGCAGGAAAGUGAAAAUAUUAGCCACUCAGUCAUGUCUGGCUCUUUGUGACCCCAGAGACUGAAACCUACCAGGCUUUUCUGUCCAUGGGAUUCUCCAGGCAAGACUACUGGAGUGGGUUGCCACUUCCUUCCCCAGGGGAUCUUCCUGAGCCAGGGGUUGAACCUGGGUCUCCUGCACUGCAGACAGACUCUUUACCGACUGAGCCACCAGGGAAGCCCUAGAAAUGAACAAGAGACAGUUCAGUAGUUUUGCUUCAAAAUGAAGAUUGAGUGUUUUGUUUUAACAAGAUUAAAGGCAUGUGAACAGAAAGGAAAAGUAAUACAUUCCUAAAUACUGAGUAAACCAAGUGUAGUAAACAAGAACCAGUGCUUAUUAGGUGUCAAUACUUUUAUUAUUAUCUGUGCUCUGUACUCCUCAGAAAGAAGCCAGCACAGAUGAUUUAGCAUCUUCCAUGGACAGAAACUCUGGGUUCGCCUCUGUAUAAUAGGAAGGUGGAGAUUAAUACCCUACACCCUCGAGCUGAUUUAAGCGGUGGCACCGUGGCACUGACCUCUGUGUUUGCAUCUGCGUUAGGAGCACAGAGACCAGUUUUUAUCUUCUCCUCCUUAGGCUUGUCACCGUGGGCUAAUGUAAGGCUUCCUCGUGGUCAUGAAUUCUGUGGUUGCAUUUGAUGUGUUAAGGGUUAGGAGAACAAAAUGCUGAAACUGAUUUUAGCCUCUGUUGUUACCAAGAUUGUGAGACCAAGAACAGAUGCAUCUUCCACCGUCAUGAGCUCUCCGGUUGCCUGUGUCUAAUAGGAAUACAGAGAUUAAUGAUGGACAUGAACUACUAAUCAUUCUCUAAUGAUCAAGACCUUCAUGGUUGAAGGGUGGAUCGACUGUAGCUCAUUAAGUUAUUCUCCAACCAUGAAGAGCUUUGCCUAAUGCCUCUGGGGAAGGAGCACACCAUGCCAUGAAGGACAGCAAGGUGUGCCUUUGGGGACAUCACCAGGCCUCUCCAUGUCCCAUGCCCGUCAUCUGUAAAAGGGAAGUCAAAUUUCAUUCAUUGAUUCUGCCAGCAUAUUGAAAGUGUAAAGAGCUGUGCCCUGGCUGGAGCACGUGCCCCUGCGUGCAGCUCCCUGCCCCGUGCAGCGUGUGAGCUCCGUGUCACGUGUUCUUCUCCCAUCCCUGCCCUUUGAGCCUCAGCGGUGCUGUGGGCUUUCCCUCCCGCGCAGAAUCUCCCCACUGGCCUCCUCUUCCUCACGUCUUCCCUCCCCCGGUCUCCCAGGACCUUGGUCUCCCCCAGGGACCCUCUCAGGGGUGUUGCCUCCUUCUUUUCAUCACCUGAGUCUCGCAGUUGUAGCCAGAGGCUGCCUAGCCUGGCCUCAGUUUCCCCAUGUGCAGAUUGAAGCAAGGAUGAUAGCACCAAGCUCUGUCAUCCCCCUUGUGCCCAGUGGGGCAAGAGAAAAUCUAGCCCAUCGCAUGGAUCCUUCCAGGCCCUUGAGCCUCACUUGUAAUUUGGGGCCCAGGUUUUAUUUUCUUUUCCCGCAGAUCUAAGGCACCUCCCAGCUCGUGUGUUUUUUCAACAUGAUGCAAUGAGCGUCCGUUAGCUUGGCGGGGUCUGGGCCACGUCCCCGGCAGACGUCCCCGGUGUCAGUGUGAGUUGCUGGCAGCUGCCCGGAGGGGAGGAAGGUGGGCCCGCUUAGAUGUGUCCCAGCUGUGGCCCCGACUGUCCCCUCACUUCUGCUGAGAGGGGAGUGGGGAGGUGCUCUGGGCACGGAGCCUGGUGUGUGCUGUUCCACCUGUGGGAUCGGAGGCUGUAUCUCCAUUCAUGCCAGGGUUUGGGUCCUGAGAGCAUCACAGCACGGUUUGUGGUUUGCGUGUCAGGAUGAAAGAACUGAACCAGUGCUCUUGGCCAGGUCCACCAGUUUGGUAACUGUGGUUACCUGCAGAGAAGGGUUAUAAAAACCCUGCAGAGAAGCAUCUAGAAAAUGUUCCUCCUGCUCCUAAUAGUUGCCCCAAAGAGCUCGUUUCAAAAUACAAGGAUCACAGGGCCCUGCCCAUCAGGGGAGCUGGUGCAGGGCCACCCUGGGUCUGCCUGAGCUUGCCCCCUGCCCCAGAGCCCACUUGGUGCUCACUUGCCCCCAAGCCCUGGCUUCCAGGACCUCUGGGAGAAGCUCAGUUGGGUCUGGUUUGCUGUUGAGACCAGCCCAUUUCCUUCCCAGCAGGGAGAGCCAGGCUGAGCCUGGUCCCCAGGUCAGGAACGGUGAGGCGAGAACUGAUCAGGGUGAGAGGUGGAGAGCCGGAGCACAGCUCCCAAAUCCAGGAUUGGGGGGUGCCCACCUCCAACGGCAGGGCUGCAGGGGAGCCCUGUGACCCCGGGGCUGCACAGAAUGGCCACCUCUGGGUUGACACUCUGGUGGUUUUAUGAAUGAGCAGUACCUUCUUAAAAUGUCGCCUAAAGGGGAUAAACUGAAAGAGCCAUCUGUGGACCGGUGAUGGCUGGUAUUGGGAUUGAAGACUGUCAUCAGUCCAGUUCCGUGUAUCCCUGGAUAUAAGGAUGAUGACAGAGAUGCUAAUACUGCUGCUGCCUGGAUGGGUGGAAGGCUGAGGGCGCUGAUCCGCUCAGCCAGUCACAUGGCCCCCGUGUUUAUCUUGAGGAACAUCCAGGCUGGCUGAAACUCUCCAUCCUCCCCUCUGCCGUGCUCCAGCCUGAGUUUCUCGUCCUUCGCCCAUUCGCACCUAGACCCGUGCAGCACCCCUGAGUUUCAUGCCAUGGCUGUUCGUUUCUCGUUGGAUUAGAAGCAUCCCAAAGGUGGGAGCAGCUCUGCUCCAGCUCCAUGUCCCCAGGGCUGGCCUUGCCAUUCCCAACAGCCCUGCUGGGGCUGGACACUGCGGUUGUGGUCGGACAUGUGCUCACACAGUUGGACUUGGUUUUGUGACUGAGCCCUCUUGUCUUGGAAGGUUGUUUACAUGGAGCCCGUGGAGGUGUGGUUGGCGGAGCACAGGACUUCCCCUGGGUGAUUCCGAUGGGUGUAUGCCUUCCUUCGCUGGGUGAGUUCUGCUUUUCUGGGCGACACUCUAAGAGGCAUGUGCGCCAGUGACCAAGCGUCAGGCAUGGUCUAGGAAAGGUAAAGCCUGGAGGGGGUCCUAGGAGAGCUGGGGCACACAUGCAGGUCCCAGAGGAGCCCACCUGGGGCAGUGGCAGGGAGCAGUGGGGCCAUUUCUGGCAGCUGCUUCUCUGAGUGGAGGGUGAAGCCAUUCAGAAGUUACCCAGGGCAAAGAGGUGAGGUCAGACACCUGGCCUUCAUCUCUGGUCCCACCCAAUUGGUCACUUUGCAGCUGACUGGACACCAGAGUCCUUUUUAGGACUCAGGGUUACCUUCACACCUUGCCCCACACUGAAUCUCUUUUACAAAUUAUGCAGAUAAUUUCAUUUCUGUAGUGGAGAAUGAAGAAGGCGGAGUCAUGUGAGUUUUUCCUAGAAAAGAUACUAAGCUGAUAACUAAAACUUAUUACAUGUAAUAAUUCUAGAAAAAGAAACACAUUUAUUGCCAAACACUGAACAGAACAAGAGGAAGAACAGGACUCACCCUAGUCUCAUCACUCAAAGAUGACCACUGCCAGCAUUUUGAAGACCAGCUUCUGGUCUUUUGGUUUCACCUGUAAAUUGCAAAAGUGAGUGUGUGUGUGUGUGUGUAUACAAAUGUACACACAUUUUUAUUUGGGUUCAUCAUAGCCAUCCUAAUUUUUCACCUAAGUAGACAUCCUAAACAUGUCCCAUGCCAUUAAGUAAUUUCCUAUCUUAUGAUUUUUUUUUAACCUAGUAUCCUAGCAAAUGACUAUAUCAUAAUUGAUUUAAUUGACGCACUCUUGUCAGAUAUUUACAUGAUUUUUAAAAGUUGGAUGAUAGAAGUUGGAGUGAGCAGCUAUGUUUUUCCAUCUUCACGUAUGUCUCUUAUUUGUACUCGUAAGAGUGGAGUGGCCAUGUCAAAAGGUGCGAGCGUUUUAUGGCCAAAUUGUCCCCCUUGAACUUUGUACCAAUUUACAUUCUCAGAAUUAGUUUAACAAGUGACUUUCUCUGGGAAUUAUCAAGGUUUUAAACAUUCAUCAAUUUGUCAAAUUUCAUUCUUCUCAUUUUCAGUUCUUUUAUUAUCUGUGAUAAGAGCAUUUCCCCCAUAUCUUUAUUGGUUCUCUAUAGCUGAAUUGCCAGUUCAGUUUCUUUGCUUUAUUCAGCUUUCAUUAAGUUUUAUUUUUGUCAAAGUCAUGCAUAUGCUUCAUUUUAAGAGUCAGAUAGCUGUACAAGAUUAUGUAGAAGCAUCCUUCUCCACUCCAAUUCCAUAUCCACCUAAGCUACAGCUUUUUACUCUUUUAAAUGGUUCUUUUGCCAUUUACAACAAUUUUUCUAAGUAACAUUCUGAUUUUUCUAGUUCUCAAAAAAAAAUUUUUUUUUUUGACUUAGGCAUUACCUUGACUUUUCAACCACAGAAAAUGAAGAUUGAAAUCUUUCACCUUUGGCCUCAACACACACAAGAAUACCUGUCUGUCCCCUUCUUUUAAUUUAUUUAGCUCAGUUUUGGUUUGAUCAGUAUUCCAUCUUUAUAUAUUACAACAGUGUAAAUACUUGAGAGUUCAACAACAGCACUGUGAUUUUUUACUUUUCCUUGCAACUUUUGUUUUCUCUGGAGUCAAUAAUUUUUUGGUUUUGUCUUUCUUUUUUCCUUCUCUCUUUGGUUGGUUAUUAAUGAACUUAUCCCAAAUUCAUCUCCAGCCUUUCAUGACAUCCAAACACAUUAGUGUUUUUCGUUUUAUUUAAUGUGUUUAUCUUUUUGAAGACUUCUCUUCCUGGAGCCUCCUUCCCUCUUUUGUUCAGGAUGGGCUCGUCUUUGGGCUUUCUGCCCUUAUCGUGGAAUCACUUCCUCAUUACUUCCUGGGGAUUCUCCUUGGUCGGAUCCCUAGUUUUGUAAAUCCUGUGUUAUUCUCAUUUUUUGUUUACUCCCUUGUUUAGCUAGAGUGCAUCCUCUAGCAGUUUCCUGGUAAAGGGUCCAUGGGAGGUAAAUCUUUGGAGAUCUUUCACAUAAGAAAAGGGUAAUGUCUAGUCCACACUGAUGGUGAUAGUUUAGCUUGGUACAGAAUUCUAGUUGGUACCUUUUUUCCCCUUCAGAUUUGAAAAGCAUAAAUAGUUGUCUUCUGGCUUCCCGUGAUAUUGAUCGGAAGUCUGAAGACUUCUGAUUCCCAUCCCUUGUAUGUGAUCUUCUGUUACCCUCCCUUUCCGGAACUUCUGGUCUUUUCUCACUGUGUUUUGAAUUCCGUGUGUAUAUAUUUUGAUGUGGUCUACAUUCGUCCGUUUGGCCAGGCCCUUUUGAUCUGAAAGCGUAUGUCUUUCAGUUGUGGAUAUUUCUUGUUCAAUUCCUCGGACAAUGGCCUCCCGUCUGUUUCCUCUUAAACUUAUAUUGAGCUUGGAUCGUAUGUUGGAUCUCUUUGACAGGUUCUCUGCUUUUCACGUAUUUUUCCUCUGAUUUUCGUAUCUUAAUCUCUUUGUUCUCUUACUGAGCAAUUACUCUGUCUUCAUUUUUUAAUCUAUUUUCAUUUCUGCAAUCUCUGAUUUUCAAGAAUUUUUCAUUACACUCUAAAUAUUGUUUUAUUGAAUUUUGUUUCAUGGAUGCAAUCGCUUCUUUGAUAUUUCUAAAAAUAUUAAUAUUAGUUUUUUGAAAUUGUCUUUCUCUUAAAGAGUCUUCAAACUUUUUUUUUUCCUUCCAAGUGUGUGUCAUUGUCUAACUUUCAUUUUAGGUUCUUUUCUCAAGUCUUUGGUUGUAUAGAUAGAUAUAUAGAUAUAAUUGAUAUUGAUAGAUAUAUAUAUACAAUGCACACAUCCAGAUAAACUACAGAACUAUUUGGAAGCUCUCAGUCUGUGGUUGGGUCUUGUAAACUAUGGAGUUUACUGUAGAGAGAGCUAACUGGUCUUUGUAUUGUGGAACCCCAGGUUUUAGCAUUUUUAUGUCUUUUUCUUUUAGAUUGAUUGGAUGAUCCAAAGAGUUUCUGAUCUAGAAUUUUACUAGUUGCUGGUGCUCUGUGAGGUUUGUGAAGGAAGACUGAGUGGUCUGAACAUCCAGCUUGAAGAGUUUGCCUUCUUUCUCUUUUGAUGUAGGGCUCUGGCCCUCGGCUGUGCAUGCAUCUCUGCUCCAGUCACCUCUGCCUUGCUCUCUGCAUGUAAUGCCUUUUCAGUCUUCUCUCCAGGUUAGGGAAGGCUUUGCCUAACGGGUGAAGACUGGGGGCUCUGUCUUCUUCUUUAACAGACUUUUAGCCAGUUGAUCUUAUUUAGGCCCAGGCUUUCCUGGAGGUUCCUGAGACUUCUGUGGGUUCUGUUGACUACACUGGCCUUUAUUUCAGCUGUCCUCACUGCCAGUCCAGGGUCCCAGCUCUGAAUCAGUUCCAAAUCUCCUAUUGUCUUGUGUUUGUCCUCUGUACUCAUGCUCAAGAUCAAAAUCUCUCUUUCAUUUAGCGCAGUUUCAAGAGCAAAGGCUGGUGGAUAUCUAUAUGCUAUUCACUAUGCUGAACUCAAAGUCAUUUACCCAUCUCUCUCUACUGCUAUAUCUAUUAUUUUUAUUUUAUUAAUACCUUUCAAAGUAAGAAUAGUAACUGUUUUUCCAUCCUAUGUUACCAAUGUCCUGCCCCCGCCCCCAUUUUUCAUUUACCAUUCCAUUUUGUUCAUGGAGCAUUUAACUUUUUAUUUACAAUUUUUAUUUUCUAAAAAAUCUAUGACUAAUUUUUUCUUAUAGUUAUUUCUUACUUAGAAAGACAUUUCCUACCCCAAGCUCAUAUGUUUAGUCACAUUUUUUUUUCUAGUUCCUUCAUGAUUUCUUCUCUAUAUUGAAUCUUUACUCCUUUAAUUGAAUUAUUGUAAGAAACAACUUUUUGCUCCAUUUCCACAUGCUACAUGUUAGAUAGUUUUUGUUUCUCACUGUGGCUUUCUAUUUGACAUUAAUCUGUCUAUUCUUAUCCUAGUAUUGCUGUUAUAAUAGAUCAUAUUGUUAAAAUAUGUAUUAUUAUUUGAUAGAAAUAGUCUUCCUUCAUUCUUAUUUUUCAAGAUUUUCUUGAUUAGUCUCACUUGUUAUUUUUCCAGGUGAAUUUUAGUGAUAUAGCGAAGUUAAAAACAUUCCUUAUAGAUUUUCUGUGAAAUUUUAUAAAAUUAUAAAGAGAAUUGGUAUGUUUUGACACUUGGGCUUUACAUCUUUUAUAGUUUAUAAUAUAUAGUCACAAUUCAUCAAAUUUGACAAAUUCACAAUUUGUUAUUGAGUUUAUUUCAAGGAACUACAUAUUGCUUCUGUUGUGAAUUUUUCUUGUAUUUUCUAACUGGUUAUUACUGGUAUGUAGGGAAGAGAUUAUGUAUCUAUUGUUAUUGUCUAUCUCAUUAAAUUUUCUCAUAUGUUCUACAAGUUUUCAGUUGAAUGUUUUGGAAUUUCUAGGUAAAGUGUCAUAUACAAUUAUAGAAAAAUUUUGAAAAUAUUUUAUCUCUUUUACUUUUCUUUCUUGUCUUAUAGUAUUGUCUAGAUCUUCCAAAACAUUAAAUUGUUGAUAACAAAUCUUUGUCUCAUUUCUGGUUCAUGUUAAUUAUGAUAACAGGUACUUUUUAAGGCUGUAUGUUUUUUAUAAUGCUAAUUAAGUAUCUACUUCAUGUAUGAUUAAAAUCAGGAAUGGAUUAGAAUUUCCUGAAAUACUUUUUUGAUAUCUGUAGAGAUACUUGUGUUGUUUUUCUCCAUUGAUCUAUUGAUGAAAUGAAUUAUAAUAAUGUUUCAUAACUUUGAAACAUUUUUGGGUCAAAUUCUACCUGGUUUUCGUUUAUUGUUCUUUUAAUAUACUUCAUGAUUUGGUCUGCUAGUAUUUGGAAUUAAAGUUUUGGUCAUUUGAUAUCAAAGUUAUGCUAGCUUUGUAAAAUGAAUUAGGGAGCAUUCCAUCUUUUUCUGUGUUCUGUACCAUAUGUACAUCAUUUAAAUGAUCUAUUUCAUGGAAAACUUGAAAAAACAUAGCUAUAUAACUCUCCUGGGAUAAUUCUGGCAACCUUUUCUAUUUCUUCUGUAUUUAUUGGAUACUUUAGAUUUCCUAAAUCUUUAGAUUGUUUGCUUCUUUUUCUCAUAUAGCUUAGUGUUUACAUGUGCAGGCACUGGAAUCAGACAACUUGGGUUCAAAUUCUUGCUCUCUCAUUUCUCAUGUGACCUCAGGAAAACUAUGUCUUCUCCCUAAUUCUUAGUUUGUGCACUUGUUAAAUGGAUAAUAAGAGCCUGAAGCCAAGAGGGCUGCUGUGAGAAUUAAAGAGAUAAAGUGUCUUGCAUUGAGUCUGGCACAUAGUGAGUGCGCUGUGAUUCUUUUAAAGCUAAUAUUAAUCCUAGAAAAUAAUCUAUGUUUUGAGAUGUAAAUACUUCUUAGUAUAGAAUUGUAAGUAGUAUUUGUAUAAUAAAAUUUAUUUCUAUAUCGUCUUUAUCAUUCUUAA
Bubalus bubalis (water buffalo) is the source of this 20956-nucleotide long non-coding RNA. RefSeq lists it as uncharacterized. The transcript is spliced from 34 exons. Lineage: Eukaryota; Metazoa; Chordata; Mammalia; Artiodactyla; Bovidae. The record is from RefSeq and is a predicted model, not a curated record.